CCAGACUCCUACGGGAGGCAGCAGUGGGGAAUAUUGCACAAUGGGGGGAACCCUGAUGCAGCGACGCCGCGUGGGUGAAGGAGCACCUCGGUGCGUAAAGCCCUAUCGGCAGGGAAGAAACAGACGGUACCUGACCAAGAAGCCCCGGCUAACUACGUGCCAGCAGCCGCGGUAAUACGUAGGGGGCCAGCGUUAUCCGGAUUUACUGGGUGUAAAGGGAGCGUAGACGGCUGUGCAAGUCUGAAGUGAAAGCCCGUGGCUCAACCGCGGAACUGCUUUGGAAACUGUAUAGCUUGAGUACUGGAGAGGCAGGCGGAAUUCCUAGUGUAGCGGUGAAAUGCGUAGAUAUUAGGAGGAACACCAGUGGCGGAGGCGGCCUGCUGGACAGAAACUGACGUUGAGGCUCGAAAGCGUGGGGAGCAAACAGGAUUAGAUACCCGAGUACAG
This 447-nucleotide ribosomal RNA is filed under the name uncultured bacterium. Its description in RNAcentral is "bacterial SSU rRNA". It matches the Rfam family "Bacterial small subunit ribosomal RNA", at positions 331 to 793 of the family's 1533-position model. The record is from RNAcentral.